RNAcentral lists this ribosomal RNA (367 nucleotides) under uncultured bacterium. Its description in RNAcentral is "bacterial SSU rRNA". It matches the Rfam family "Bacterial small subunit ribosomal RNA", at positions 434 to 793 of the family's 1533-position model. The record is from RNAcentral.
CAGUCGUGAGGAAGGUGGUAGUGUUAAUAGCACUAUCAUUUGACGUUAGCGACAGAAGAAGCACCGGCUAACUACCGUGCCAGCAGCCGCGGUAAUACGGAGGGUGCGAGCGUUAAUCGGAAUUACUGGGCGUAAAGCGCAUGCAGGUGGUUUGUUAAGUCAGAUGUGAAAGCCCGGGGCUCAACCUCGGAAUAGCAUUUGAAACUGGCAAACUAGAGUACUGUAGAGGGGGGUAGGAAUUUCAGGUGUAGCGGUGAAAUGCGUAGAGAUCUGAAGGAAUACCGGUGGCGAAGGCGGCCCCCUCGGACAGAUACUGACACUCAGAUGCGAAAGCGUGGGGAGCAAACAGGAUUAGAUACCCUGGUAG